CGGCCCAAAGAGGGUGAAGGCCCGUCGGGGAGAAGAUCAGGCAGGUCAGUGCUUUCCUAAAAAGACCUUGGAGUCGGGUUGUUUGAGAAUGCAGCCCAAAGUGGGUGGUAAACUCCAUCCAAGGCUAAAUACUAACACGAGUCCGAUAGCGAACAAGUACCGUGAGGGAAAGUUGAAAAGUACUUUGAAGAGAGAGUAAACAGUGCGUGAAGCCGCUCAGAGGUAAACGGGUGGAGUUGAACUGCGUGCUACGAGAAUUCAGCUGGUGAUUGUGUUAUGACCUUGGUCAUCUYGGUUGAACAGUGCGGUCUGCGUAAAAGCAGGUUCUUGCCUUCGGGCGGGGAUGCGCGAUUCACUUAUCAAGUGAUGUGCGCCUCAUUGCUCUUCGAACCAAUUGCCAGUGCACUUUCUCAGAGCGUUCACCACGAUCGGCACCGUUGUCCGACUAUUGUGGUUAAACCGGCCUGACAUUGUCCUUGUGACUUUUUCACGUCGGCACGGCAGGUAGCUCGUUGGCUUUCUUGUGGUUCGCUACAGGGAUUUAGACAACGGGUGUAAUCAGCUGGCCACAAUAUUUCCGUACAAUGUGCCGGAGACCGCGGCUUGUGAUGUGUGCCUGCGCAAUUAUUGCUGGCCAAUUCGGGUUUGGUUGUCAUGUUGCCUGUUAAAUCAGGCCUGACGAUGGCUCGGAUUCGUUCAACAAUUCACUGCGUAAGCGACAUCAAUACAGGGCCAACAGUCUGUGGUGUUGUGGUAGACCAUCCACCUGACCCGUCUUGAAACACGGACCAAGGAGAGUAACAUGUGCGCGAGUCAUUGGGCGUAACGAAACCCAAAGGCGCAGUGAAAGUGAAGGUUUGGCUUGUCCAAGCUGAGGUGAGAUCUCGUCGUUUCUCACACGGUAUCACCAAGUAAAGAGCGUCGAGCGCAUCACCGGCCCGUCCCAUGACGUAGACGGGAUCACCUGAUCCACGCAUCGUCGGGCGGAGCAUGAGCGUACAUGUUGAGACCCGAAAGAUGGUGAACUAUGCUUGCGCAGGUUGAAGCCAGAGGAAACUCUGGUGGAGGACCGCAGCGAUUCUGACGUGCAAAUCGAUCGUCAAACGUGAGUAUAGGGGCGAAA
RNAcentral lists this ribosomal RNA (1123 nucleotides) under Monorchiidae sp. 1 DIHM-2019. RNAcentral describes it as "partial large subunit ribosomal RNA". It matches the Rfam family "Eukaryotic large subunit ribosomal RNA", at positions 199 to 928 of the family's 3401-position model. Lineage: Eukaryota; Metazoa; Platyhelminthes; Trematoda; Plagiorchiida; Monorchiidae. The record is from RNAcentral.